GUUAGCCAAUGCUAUCCUGCACGCCGUCAUUGAAAGGCUACUACUGGCACCUUAAGAUAAACAGCCGUCUUACCGUAUGGUUGACCCUGCAGGUCGUACUGCUGCAUGCGGUAAACCGUGAACUCAUGAGCCGCCUCGGCCGGUAGCGGAGACACCAGGAUCAGCACCGCGGGGAUAAACACGAUGAAGAUGAUUUGCGACCACAGGCCCGGGGGAGGCAAUAUUACCCCGGCUUCUUCCACGCACCAGGGGAAUUGAUUUAGCCAUCAUUUUCAUUAAGGCCAGUGGAAAUAAGACAAAGGAAAAAAAAAAGAGAGGAGGCCAUAGGGCCGAGCUGCAGCCCGUUAGCCUCGUUGGUUGCGCGGGGCAACAGUCAGAUAAUGGAUGGCGAGGCUCGGUGGAGCCAGCCGCUCCAUUAGGUUUUGUUAAUGCGGUCAGAGACUCAUCCGCCUUCAGAUCCACUUUCAGAAACGCUCACUCACGCUGGAUCUCUCUUUACUGUCUAUUGUCUUACUGUGAGAGGAAGACUUCUCCCACAGAGUCGUCACAGCAAUUACCAGAGAUACUGUACCCCAUGAUGACUUGCAACUUGGAAA
Long non-coding RNA from Eleginops maclovinus (Patagonian blennie), 596 nucleotides. RefSeq lists it as uncharacterized. The transcript has 3 exons. The record is from RefSeq and is a predicted model, not a curated record. NCBI's taxonomy places the organism in Eukaryota, Metazoa, Chordata, Actinopteri, Perciformes, Eleginopidae.